UAAUAGUUGCCUGGGAAACUAGAGAUGAAAUUCUACAGGUCUUUGAAAUGCUUUACAUUUGAGAAUGAAGCUCAGCUGAAGUUUGAACAGCAUACUGACAUAUACCAACAAGAAUGAAAAUAACUUAACAGCAAUUUUAUAAAUUCACAUCCCCCAGAGCACCACAGAGUAAAGAAAUACUGCAUAUGGGUAACAACUGGUUCUUAGUUACUAAAUCUGAAAGAUCAAAUACAGUUAAUUACAUAAGCUUCUCUUGAGUUUUUCUGGGGGAAUAUACCAGGAGACCAUAAUCAAGGUACCAGUUUAUUGAUGGCUGUCCUUAACAAAUACAACUCUUCAAGAAAAUAAAGUAAUUUAAUGCAUAAUAAUGUUGAAUGCCAUCACCAGUGGCAUUUCAUACUGGUCCCAUGGUGUUAAUCCAGGUUUCUGGUAUUGCACUAAACACGAUGAAAAACAGGAGAGAACGGAGAGGGAUCAUGUUUUACCACAAUAUGCAAUUUAUGGGAGAGAUGAAGCGCUCAGGUGGAGAUGACUAGUGUCACGUGGUGUUUUAAGUGGAUACUCACAACGCUGGAACUCACAGCAAUAACAACAAGAGAUCCUCUAUAGACUGUUGAUGUAUAGCCAUGAGAAAAAAAAAAGAAAAAUUUUUGCUCUCAAUGAGCUUGCAUUUAAGCAUCUAUAAAAGGUGAGAUUAAUAUUUACUCAGUGAACUUUGAGUAAAGCAUUGGGUGCUUCAUUAUGUGGAGGAGUCUCAUCCAAUCAGUUGAAGGUGACUGAAUGGAACUAUAGAUCGACCUCACAUAAAUGAGAGGGAAUUCUGCAACAGAUCAUCUUUGCCUUUGAACUGCAGCAUGGACUCCCCUCUGGGUCUCCUGCCUGCCAGCCCACCCUGCAGAGUGCAUUUGCCAGCCUCCACAAUCAGGUAAUUUAUCCUGUGCAUUAACAAGAGGAAGUCUAGAGCCAUGGAAACCAAGUCAGGAAACUUCUCUCUUAUUAUUAGGUCCACUGCAAAUCUAGUUGAGACUGCAAAUCGAGAGCUCUGUUCACUGGCUUUCGUCUCCUUUCCUCAACACAGUUUAGUCACCACCUCCGAGGAACUGUGUCCCGCAUUGGCAUUCCUUUGGCAGCUUCCACUUCUCUGUCCCCUUGAGCAAACUAAUGAUAUCUUAAGUUAGAACAUCAUGCCAAGAGAAGUAUGUUUUCAACCAAGAAAGCAAAAUCAACAUGAUCCUAAAUGAACUGCUUCUGCAUGUCAACAGUCUUGAUAUACCUGAGAGAGUGAGAUACAGAGUAUGUUGUUAAACUUUUUAUAAUUACAAAUAUUGCUUGUAUUUCUUUUGAAAUUUGCCACACGCUGAUAUUAAAAAUAAUAGAUAGAAAAUCAAGAGAGAAA
This 1396-nucleotide long non-coding RNA is filed under the name Homo sapiens (human). RNAcentral describes it as "HSALNT0313336". The record is from RNAcentral. Lineage: Eukaryota; Metazoa; Chordata; Mammalia; Primates; Hominidae.